GACGUAGGGUGCGAGCGUUGUCCGGAUUUAUUGGGCGUAAAGAGCUCGUAGGCGGCUCGUCGCGUCGACCGUGAAAACCCGCGGCUUAACUGCGGGCUUGCGGUUGAUACGGGCGGGCUAGAGUUCGGUAGGGGAGACUGGAAUUCCGGGUGGAGCGGUGAAAUGCGUAGAGAUCCGGAGGAACACCGAAGGCGAAGGCAGUCUCCUGGCAAGUUACUGACGCUCAGGUGCGAAAGCUAGGGGAGCGAACAGG
This 253-nucleotide ribosomal RNA is filed under the name uncultured bacterium. RNAcentral's name for it is "partial 16S ribosomal RNA". It matches the Rfam family "Bacterial small subunit ribosomal RNA", at positions 524 to 776 of the family's 1533-position model. The record is from RNAcentral.